AGUGAACGCUGGCGGUAGGCCUAACACAUGCAAGUCGAACGGCAGCACAGUAAGAGCUUGCUCUUACGGGUGGCGAGUGGCGGACGGGUUAGGAAUACAUCGGAAUCUACUUUUUCGUGGGGGAUAACGUAGGGAAACUUACGCUAAUAUCGCAUACGACCUACGGGUGUCAGCAGGGGAUCUUCGGACCUUGCGCGAUUGAAUGAGCCGAUGUCGUAUUAGUUAGUUGGCGGGGUAAAGGCCCACCAAGGCGACGAUCCGUAGAUGGUCUGAGAGGAUGAUCAGCGACACUAGAACUGAGACGCGGUCCAGACUCCUACGGGAGGCAGCAGUGGGGAAUAUUGGACAACGGGCGCAAGCCUGAUCCAGGCAUACCGCGUGGGUGAAGAAGGCCUUCGGGUUGUAAAGCCCUUUUGUUGGGAAAGAAAAGCAGCAGGUUAAUACCCCGCUGUUCUGACGGUACCCAAAGAAUAAGGACCGGCUAACUUCGUG
RNAcentral lists this ribosomal RNA (492 nucleotides) under uncultured bacterium. Its description in RNAcentral is "partial 16S ribosomal RNA". It matches the Rfam family "Bacterial small subunit ribosomal RNA", at positions 29 to 507 of the family's 1533-position model. The record is from RNAcentral.